Molecule: ribosomal RNA, 1393 nt
Filed under: Nakamurella antarctica
Lineage: Bacteria; Bacillati; Actinomycetota; Actinomycetes; Nakamurellales; Nakamurellaceae
Description: 16S ribosomal RNA
Rfam family: Bacterial small subunit ribosomal RNA
Source: RNAcentral
GCGUCUACCAUGCAGUCGAACGGAAAGGCCCGCUUGCGGGUACUCGAGUGGCGAACGGGUGAGUAACACGUGGGCAACCUGCCCUCAGCUUUGGGAUAACACAAAGAAAUUUGUGCUAAUACCGGAUAAUAAACGGCCGCGCAUGUGGUUGUUUUGAAAGUUUUUCGGCUGGGGAUGGGCCCGCGGCCUAUCAGCUUGUUGGUGGGGUAAUGGCCUACCAAGGCGACGACGGGUAGCCGGCCUGAGAGGGCGACCGGCCACACUGGAACUGAGACACGGUCCAGACUCCUACGGGAGGCAGCAGUGGGGAAUAUUGCGCAAUGGGCGGAAGCCUGACGCAGCGACGCCGCGUGAGGGAUGAAGGUCUUCGGAUUGUAAACCUCUUUCAGCAGGGACGAAGCGCAAGUGACGGUACCUGCAGAAGAAGCACCGGCCAACUACGUGCCAGCAGCCGCGGUAAUACGUAGGGUGCAAGCGUUGUCCGGAAUUAUUGGGCGUAAAGAGCUCGUAGGCGGUUUGUCGCGUCGAAUGUGAAAGCCCGGGGCUCAACUCCGGGUCUGCAUUCGAUACGGGCAAACUAGAGUUCGGUAGGGGAGUCUGGAAUUCCUGGUGUAGCGGUGAAAUGCGCAGAUAUCAGGAGGAACACCGGUGGCGAAGGCGGGACUCUGGGCCGAUACUGACGCUGAGGAGCGAAAGCGUGGGGGAGCGAACAGGAUUAGAUACCCUGGUAGUCCACGCCGUAAACGGUGGGCGCUAGGUGUGGGGGACUUCCACGUUCUCUGUGCCGCAGCUAACGCAUUAAGCGCCCCGCCUGGGGAGUACGGCCGCAAGGCUAAAACUCAAAGGAAUUGACGGGGGCCCGCACAAGCGGCGGAGCAUGCUGAUUAAUUCGAUGCAACGCGAAGAACCUUACCAAGGCUUGACAUGUACAGGAAAGUUCCAGAAAUGGUUCCCCCGCAAGGUCUGUAUACAGGUGGUGCAUGGUUGUCGUCAGCUCGUGUCGUGAGAUGUUGGGUUAAGUCCCGCAACGAGCGCAACCCUCGUCUUAUGUUGCCAGCACGUGAUGGUGGGGACUCAUAAGAGACUGCCGGGGUCAACUCGGAGGAAGGUGGGGAUGAGGUCAAAUCAUCAUGCCCCUUAUGUCUUGGGCUUCAAGCAUGCUACAAUGGCCGGUACAAAGGGCUGCGAUACCGCGAGGUGGAGCGAAUCCCAAAAAGCCGGUCUCAGUUCGGAUUGGGGUCUGCAACUCGACCCCAUGAAGUCGGAGUCGCUAGUAAUCGCAGAUCAGCAACGCUGCGGUGAAUACGUUCCCGGGCCUUGUACACACCGCCCGUCACGUCACGAAAGUCGGUAACACCCGAAGCCGGUGGCCUAACCCCUUGUGGGAGGGAGC